ACUUAGCUAGCUAGCCUAAUUCCACACUUUACGGAUGUCCAAUUUGUGUCAAUGUAGGUUAGAGCUGCCGCCUUAUAAGCAGAUUGUGACAUACGGGGCGCGUUCUUACAAGAAUCCACUGACCUAGAAUUGAAAAGAAAAAAUGUUGAGCCAGAAGAUAUAGAAGCCAAUGCCAUAGAUGCUGAAACUAUGGGUACUAGCAGUUCUAAAGAAAAGGAGGUGGUAAAAGGGCAAAGCCUAGCCCAGUUUUUGAAGCAUCUAAGAAGACUUCUGCUACACAUGAUAGUCCAGCAAAGAACACAAGAAGUAAACAAUGUCCUCCAUCGAAGAGCACAAGAAGCAAAAAGUUGUGAACCUUCCUGUGCAACUACAUGUUAUUUUGUGGAACACCGUGCCAUAUGGAACCUUGCUGUGUAGUUGUGUAGCUGAUGCAACUGCAUGUAAUUUUGUGGAGCACCAUGCAUAUUUGAACCUUGUUGUGUAGCUUGUUGUGUAGCUAAUGCAAUUACAUAUUGUGAAGCACCAUGCCUUGUUGUGUAGCUGUAGCUGAUGCAA
This is a long non-coding RNA of Triticum dicoccoides, 555 nucleotides long. RefSeq lists it as uncharacterized. NCBI's taxonomy places the organism in Eukaryota, Viridiplantae, Streptophyta, Magnoliopsida, Poales, Poaceae. The transcript is spliced from 3 exons. The record is from RefSeq and is a predicted model, not a curated record.